Molecule: ribosomal RNA, 263 nt
Filed under: uncultured Staphylococcus sp.
Lineage: Bacteria; Bacillati; Bacillota; Bacilli; Caryophanales; Staphylococcaceae
Description: partial 16S ribosomal RNA
Rfam family: Bacterial small subunit ribosomal RNA
Source: RNAcentral
CGGACGGGUGAGUAACACGUGGAUAACCUACCUAUAAGACCGGGAUAACUUCGGGAAACCGGAGCUAAUACCGGAUAAUAUUUUGAACCGCAUGGUUCAAAAGUGAAAGACGGUCUUGCUGUCACUUAUAGAUGGAUCCGCGCUGCAUUAGCUAGUUGGUAAGGUAACGGCUUACCAAGGCAACGAUGCAUAGCCGACCUGAGAGGGUGAUCGGCCACACUGGAACUGAGACACGGUCCAGACUCCUACGGGAGGCAGCAGGC